Long non-coding RNA from Saccostrea echinata, 3685 nucleotides. RefSeq lists it as uncharacterized. The record is from RefSeq and is a predicted model, not a curated record. The transcript is spliced from 11 exons. NCBI's taxonomy places the organism in Eukaryota, Metazoa, Mollusca, Bivalvia, Ostreida, Ostreidae.
UAACCAGUCAAGCAGUUCGGGAAAAUUAAUUCCGGUAUGGUUUCAGUUUUAUAUUAUGUAGCUGAGUACAUCGAUCCCGAAGUUAGUUUAGCGGCGGGAGAAAUAACGUUUGGCAUGAUUAGCAAGAACUGAAAAUGAAACGGAAGUAGAAACGAAGAGGUCACAAAGAAAAAUACACCGAAACAUUGAUGCUACAUCGAUGAGCUGUGUUAUGUGCAUUGUAUAAGAAAAAAGAAGCGGACUGGCGGCCGGAGGGUGAGGAUUGACAGGGAAUCAAACUUGGACUCCUGCAUAGCUUGUAAGCUGCUCUAAUCCACCCAUGCCGACAUCCCGGUCAGCACAAUCCAAACCACUAAGUGUAUCUGGUCACCAGCAAUUGGACCUGCCUGAGCUUCUUGUGUCUGAUCACCAGCAAUUGAACUUGCCUAUCUGCCAUUUUCAUCUAGUUGGAAAUGAUGUAGUUUACUCAAUGGUGUGUAGACUGUCAACAUGUGAAACCUACAUAGUCUCCUCUGUUAAAGAUCACUAAUGGUGGAUAAACAAUGAGUGAUGCAGACUGUUCACCAAAAGGGAGUUUUGACACCUGUAUGCCUAUAUUUCUACCAAUCACCCUGUUAUCUUUUUUGUCAUGUUCUUUGGACAGGUAAAAUAACAAGGUAAAACAAGUAGAAAGAAAAGGCUGGAGCAAAGAUGAGAAAAGCACCAUAUGCCAAGGGUUUGUAAGGAGAGUAGCAGAUCAGAAACCUUUGACUAGAGAAGAUGUGAAUGGAGACAGAUUCUGAUGAUGCCAUCAUUGGGAGGCAGGAUGACUAUAAGACACUAAUUCCUCAUCCAUAAAGAUUUCUACAAGUGGUUCAUUUGAAAUGAAUACAGAUUUCAUUACAAGACGUGUGCAUGGUGCAACAUCCUGGAUGGUGUGUAGUAUGUUUGUUAACAUGUGAAGCCUACGUGUAUUUCAGGGAGUUGUCUCCCAUGUUUAAGAUCAGUAAUGGCGGAUAUACAAUGCAGUAUGCUGUCUGGUCAUCAACAGAGAGUUUUGACACCCGUAUUUCUACCAAUCACCUCUGUAACCUUUGUUGUAUUCAUCAGAUAGAUUCACCAGAUGCAGCUGCUCCAUCUCCAUCACUGGUGAAAUGGGAAAUGACUAGUGGACGGUCAUCACUUUGUAACUCACCAUUUUGCAGCCCAUCUCUUCUCAUCUUCAGUGGUGGCCUCUGGAGGAAUGGUUGCAGUGCAGUCUUCGUGUCUUAGGCAGAUAACUUCCUUUCCUUUGCUUCUCAGAAUGAGACACAAGUGCCUUCCAUUUGUGAUACUAAAGGAAGCUGUUACAAAUUUAGUUUGCCACAGUACUGGCCUGACAUAUGAGGACAGGAAUAAAAGAUGUUUUAAAAUAGAAAUGUCUAUAAUUUAACUUAUAAGUAUGAUUAACUAAGAUCACAAACAACAAAUCAGUUGCAUUGCAAAUGUACAUAUAGCAUGUUUGCACUUACGAGGGAAUAUUCACUCCCUUUCAGUGAAAGUGUUGGCAUGCAGGUCAAUUAUUGUCACCAAAUCAUCUGUCAUAUUCUCUGCAUGCAGCUGUAGAAUUUGAUCAGAAAGAUUAGCUACACUAUUCUAUGUAUAAGUCUUAUGUAUAAAUCUAAGACAUUUUGGUUUCUAGUCACCAGUCUAUAUUUAUAAUCAUUGUAGUGUAAAAAAAUUCAGGUCCAUAAGUCGAUUGAGACUUCAUGUUUUAGUGAAAUGUUUUGUUUAUUUAUUGCCAACUCGCUGUAAAUCAAAUGUAGUUAAAAAUUUCAGCACUUUCAUUGUGUUUAUGCAAUUUAUUGUUCUUCAAUGUCAGUGACAUGUAUAUCAUUUUAUGAUGCACAAUCAGUAUUAUUGUACUAGAUUUAUACUUGUCUCUUAUUGAUCUGCAUUUUUUGGGGCUAAUUAAUGUUUAAAUCCUACUGUGAACGUCUUCUUUUCACUUGGUGCCAGUGCUUGAAAGAAACCAGCCUGUCAAUAAUUUUUAAGAAGAUGCUGAGAUUAGCUUUACAUCGUAAAACAAACUGAACACUGUAUAUAGUAUAGCAUAUCAUUGUUAAAGAUGUAUGUGUGCAUGUGUGUUGUAUUGUAGAUAUAAUUCUUGUAUUACAUCAUGUAUAUUUCAUAGAAGAUUUUGUUAGAAGCUCUGUUUUCAUAAUUUAAUUAUUUUCAUGUACAUAAAGACUUUGAUCGUUUGUUUGUUUGUUUGUUGUUUAACGUCCCUCUUGAGAAUUUUUCACUGAUAUGGAGACGCCACCACUUGCUGGUGGAGAGCUGCAAAUUUUGACCUAUACUCAGCACUCGGGGCCAUUGAGCAGUGAGGGAUCUUUUUUGUGUCAGCACCUACUGUAUCACAGGACCUUGGUUUAUACAGUCUCAUCCGAAGGACUGGUAUCCACGUCCCACAGUGGGAUUCGAACCCAUGACGUAAGGAUCAACUCCUUACUUUGUGACUCUAGAGCGGACGCUCUUACUACUGUGCCACAUGGGCAACUUUGUUCAAGGAAAUUGGCUGAAGCAUUUAACACGAAAUUCUACUGAUUUUAGGCCUAUAUAAUCCAUUCUAAUGAAAGAUCUAGAAGUGUACACAGAGAACAUUGUGCUGUAGAUUUUAUUAUUAUACCUCUACUGUUAUUACUCUAUAUAAAAUUAAUACCAUAAAACUGUCUAUUUCCCUGAGAAGAUACUAUUUCCCUCAUCUGAGGACUACUCCCUGAAAAAUCGGAGCUACUCCCUGGGACUACUCCCUCAUGAAUAUUAAUAAUUUAACCAAUUAAAAUGAACAGUGGGCGGAGCAUUCAAGGAAUCUCGAGUCUGUGACGUAAUGUUAUUAGCAAUGUAAGUAUGACGUCAAAACAUUUCGACAUGCGAUGUCAAAAUCAUACUGAAAUAUUCUAGCAAAAUGAAGGCAACAAUAAUCCUUCGAAGUGUCAGUGAAAUUAUUUUAUAUUUUUUUUUAAUAAUUCUAUUUUCCUCGGUAUUGAUGCAUUAGUUAUCUUACAAUAUUUUUGAUCAUAUGCAAUUGUGAUUAUUUAAAUACCUCUGUAUUGUUUUUAAAAAUGUCUGAGUCUCUAGUUUAAUAAAUCUCCCAUGAUUGUUUCGGUAUAAUAAAACAGUUAUGGAAUGGGUACUUGGGAAAUAUCAAAUUUAUGGUUCCCCUCGGUAGGAAACUGUUUCCCUCGGCGGCUUCGCUGCCUCGGGAAAUAGUUUCCUCCCUUGGGGAACCAUAAAUUUGCUAUUUCCCUCAUACCCAUUCCAUAACUGUAUAAUAUUAUGUUGUUUAUUAUUUGAAGAAUUUGAUGUAACCUCAGUCACAUUACUACAUGUUUGUUAGAUUAUAUUUUGCUUCAUUAAGAACCUAGACUGGGGGAUUAAGGGAACUCUAAGUACAGUUGAACUUCAGUAUUUUGAACACUGAUAUCUCAAAUACCAUGGAUAAUUCAAAGUGAUUUGGAAGUUUCAGUCACUUUUUUGUAUUUAUAUUUCAUCAUUGGUCUCUCAAUUCCUCCAAGUUUCUUCUCAGUUCCGUUGAGUCCGAGGUAUCAAAGUUUGACUGUAAUUUCAUUGUUUUAGGCCUUUAUAAUUCACUUGAUGAAUGAUGUAGUAAUGUACACAGAGAAUACAAAACGGAUUGAAAGCAAUAAAGUUAUGAACUUCUGUA